AUUGAACGCUGGCGGAAUGCUUUACACAUGCAAGUCGAACGGUAGAGGGGGCAACCUCUCGAGAGUGGCGAACGGGUGAGUAAUAUAUCGGAACGUGCCCAGUCGUGGGGAUAACGUAGCGAAAGUUACGCUAAUACCGCAUACGAUCUACGGAUGAAAGCGGGGGACUCGCAAGAGCCUCGCGCGAUUGGAGCGGCCGAUAUCAGAUUAGGUAGUUGGUGGGGUAAAGGCUCACCAAGCCAACGAUCUGUAGCUGGUCUGAGAGGACGACCAGCCACACUGGAACUGAGACACGGUCCAGACUCCUACGGGAGGCAGCAGUGGGGAAUUUUUGGACAAUGGACGCAAGUCUGAUCCAGCCAUUCCGCGUGCAGGAUGAAGGCCCUCGGGUUGUAAACUGCUUUUGUACGGAACGAAAAGGUUUCCAUUAAUACUGGGGACUCAUGACGGUACCGUAAGAAUAAGCACCGGCUAACUACGUG
Molecule: ribosomal RNA, 482 nt
Filed under: uncultured bacterium
Lineage: Bacteria
Description: bacterial SSU rRNA
Rfam family: Bacterial small subunit ribosomal RNA
Source: RNAcentral